AUGAAGCCGCAAACCAAAAGACCUAGAUGACAAGGAUGAGAUCAAGAAUGCACAGUGGUGUGAUUGGAUGAGGCAGGAUCUUAACAGCCUUCCUGGAAUGAGGGAUCCACCAUAUCAGAGAAUCACAGAGCUGUGGACCAGAACCAGAGGAUGGCAGAGGCCCUGGCUACUUUCUAUCCCUAUGGAUUUGCCCAUUGUGAACAUUUCAGGUAGAUGGAAUCAUGCAAUCUGUAGCCCUUUGUGUCCAACCUCUUUCACUUAGAAUAAUGUUUUCAAGGCUCAAGCAUGUUGUAGCAUGUAUUAGUACUUCAUUCCUUUUAAUGGCUGAACGGCCUUUCAUUGUAUGGAUAGACCACAUUUUUGUUCACUCAUUCAAUUGGCGG
RNAcentral lists this long non-coding RNA (383 nucleotides) under Homo sapiens (human). Its description in RNAcentral is "HSALNT0081276". Lineage: Eukaryota; Metazoa; Chordata; Mammalia; Primates; Hominidae. The record is from RNAcentral.